This 800-nucleotide long non-coding RNA is filed under the name Phoenix dactylifera (date palm). Its description in RNAcentral is "long non-coding RNA (PDAC_LNC018029)". Lineage: Eukaryota; Viridiplantae; Streptophyta; Magnoliopsida; Arecales; Arecaceae. The record is from RNAcentral.
UGGACAAUAUUAUCAAUACAUCAUCUCAGACAUAUAACUCAUUUGUAUAAAAAUCUGCUUUUCAUUCCAUCCAUGGUCAAACCCAUAUCCACAACAGGAUCUAUAACUGUAACUAUACACUAUAUACAACAGAAGGUUUAUAAUACACCAAAAGGGGAUAAACCUCUAUCUACAUUAUACUAUACUAUGAGCGGCACAGCUAGCAGGCAACCACUAAUCCGGCUCCUCUCUAUACAAUACCUGCCCUGCAAUCAAAAACACCAAACUGGGGAGUGAGUAUAUAAAUACUCAGUGAGUGGAGUAGAGAGUACUAUGCACAUGAGACAAGAUAUAAUCAUGGCUCGAGGUGAAAUCUCAAGAGCAUAUGAGCAGUUGUCAAGAACAGGGUACACAUAACUCAACAUAAGAAAUAAGGAGUAAAUCAUCACAAUCCCAAUCAACUCAUCUGGAGCAUAUAUAGAAUAAUCAAAUAAGUAUUUAUGAUAAAAUGAAUAUGCUCAACAGGUCAUAGUACUGAAUCAUAUAAAUCAGGUGUCAAUAGGUUGAAUCAUCAACAAGACAGCUAUCGGGAGGUGGGUUUUACGCCCCAGGCGAACCAGCAACAACUCCCUACUGUCACAUGCAUAUGCAGGAUAAGACACCAUAUCGAUAAUAUAAAUGCUAGACAGCUGUCGGGAGGUGGGUUUUACGCCCCAGGCGAAUUAGCAACAACUCCCCACUGUCACAUGCAUAUGCAGGAUAAGACACCAUAUUGAUAAUGUAAAUGCUGGCCAGUAUCCAGAACAGAAAUCCAUCUCACA